UUGUUGGAGUUAUAAAGAAUCUAACCUGCCCCCUGAUUUUUAUAAUUAAAGGGCCGCAGUAUUAUAACUGUGCUAAGGUAGCAUAGUCAUUAGGUUUUUAAUUGAAAUCUUGUAUGAAUGGUUGGACGAAAGAAAAACUCUCUUUAAAUUAAUUUUGAAUUUAACUUUUAAGUGAAAAGGCUUAAAUAUUUUAAAAAGACGAUAAGACCCUAUAAAACUUUAUAUUGUAGUUAAAUUUUAUUAAGUUUAUAAAUUAAAAAUUUAAUUUAAUUAUUUAUUAUGUUGGGGAGACAUAGGCAAAAAUAAUAUUUAACUGCUUAAAAAAUACACAUUUAUAAUUGAAUAUAUAAGAGAUCCUUUUUAAAGAUUAGAAGAUUAAGUUACUUUAGGGAUAACAGCGUAAUUUCUUUUGAGAGUUCUUAUCGAAAAAGCAGGUUGCGACCUCGAUGUUGAAUUAAAAUAUCUAUAUAAUGCAGAGGUUAUAAAAGAAGGUCUGUUCGACCUUUAA
Molecule: ribosomal RNA, 508 nt
Filed under: Pudaengon thatphanom
Lineage: Eukaryota; Metazoa; Arthropoda; Malacostraca; Decapoda; Potamidae
Description: partial 16S ribosomal RNA
Rfam family: Bacterial large subunit ribosomal RNA
Source: RNAcentral